CCGUUCUGUCUGCAAUUCGAGGGGGUGGUGGAGGACUUCAACUACGGCACCCUGCUGCGCCUGGACUGCCGGGGGGGUACAGCCCUGAGAACACCAUCUUCGCCACCAGGAUUCAGUUCUUUGCCAUUGAGAUCGCUCGCAACAGGGAGGGCUACAACAGCAUCAUCUACAACAGCACCCGGCAGCAGCGGGGGGACAGCAAAUAAACCUUGUUAGAGCUGCACCCGGAGUCGUUCUGUCUGUGACCCCCCCACCCCAACCCCCCCCCCAGAGCACCGGAGGCGGCUCAGUAGAAACCAUUGAAGUUUAUUUGCAGUCACAAUGCUUACACUGUAUGCAGCAAACACCCUUACAAGUCAACCAGCAAUCGGCUCACGCGGAAAAGGACCCAACACGCAAUCGCCGGAGGAAAGAAGGGAGAAAAACCAACCAA
This is a non-coding RNA of Meleagris gallopavo (turkey), 433 nucleotides long. The record is from RefSeq and is a predicted model, not a curated record. Lineage: Eukaryota; Metazoa; Chordata; Aves; Galliformes; Phasianidae.